UUAACACGUGGAUAACCUACCUAUAAGACUGGGAUAACUUCGGGAAACCGGAGCUAAUACCGGAUAAUAUUUUGAACCGCAUGGUUCAAAGUGAAAGACGGUCUUGCUGUCACUUAUAGAUGGAUCCGCGCUGCAUUAGCUAGUUGGUAAGGUAACGGCUUACCAAGGCAACGAUGCAUAGCCGACCUGAGAGGGUGAUCGGCCACACUGGAACUGAGACACGGUCCAG
This 229-nucleotide ribosomal RNA is filed under the name uncultured Staphylococcus sp. Its description in RNAcentral is "partial 16S ribosomal RNA". It matches the Rfam family "Bacterial small subunit ribosomal RNA", at positions 110 to 334 of the family's 1533-position model. Lineage: Bacteria; Bacillati; Bacillota; Bacilli; Caryophanales; Staphylococcaceae. The record is from RNAcentral.